GCCUGGUGUGGUGGCGGGCACCUGUAAUCCCAGCUACUUGGAAGGCUGAGGUGGGAGGAUCACUUGAGCCCAGGAGGUUGAGGCUGCAGUGAGCCACGAUCAUGCCACUGCACUCAGCCUGGGCUACAGAGUGAGACCCUGUCUCAA
RNAcentral lists this non-coding RNA (147 nucleotides) under Pan paniscus (pygmy chimpanzee). The record is from Rfam by way of RNAcentral. Lineage: Eukaryota; Metazoa; Chordata; Mammalia; Primates; Hominidae. RNAcentral also lists the same sequence under 1 other name.